GAGGGCUUCAGAAAAAACCUGUAAUUCUCCACCCAUGAAGGAGGAUCAUCUCAGCAUGCUCUUUUUAGGUCCUGCAGACCCUAAUCUGUCCAAGAGCAGAGUAUUGUGGGAGUUGUAGUCCAGUCCCCUCUUUCUCUCUCACGAUUUCUCUGCCCAGGGCGGCUAAGGCUUUAGGCAAGCUGUAGGGGAGGAGCCCAGAGUAGCUGCAUUAGCAGGAUAGGCUGCAUCAGGGGGGGUGGACCGAAGUUUGUUUGUUUGCCUUUUUUUUUUGUAGGGGGUGGGGGGCGGUAGUAAUCCUCUUUGUAUUAACCCUUCCACAACCCAGGAUGACCCAAGCAUUUGGUAGAUGAUAGAUAUUCUCUCUGGGAUCCUUUAAGGGGUGUGGUUUAGCAGCACGUGGUCGUGCUCUGGGACUUUCCUACCCUGAAGAGGUCUCCUGAGUAGGAGGUAGAUUUUUUCCAGGGGGCACGGUCUAAACCCCAGGCUUUUGAGUCCUUAGACACGAUCUGGUGGUUUGGUGAAUUUGUCCUAUUGAAGACCUCCCAGGUGAAACAAAGAGACCUGACCUGGCCCCAUUAAUAAGAGGGGUGGGGAACCUGUGGCCAUGGCCUUGAAGCCUGAUCUACACCAUAGUUGUCCUGUCUUUUGCUGACUUAGAUGGAAUUUGGAUCUGUGUCUGGAAUCUUCUUCACUUCUCUUCUGGGGCAAGAUGGCGGUGAUGGAGAGAACUCUACCAGUAGUCACUGAUCACAGCCAGGAGCAGGAAUGGAGAAGUCUCUGAGAGACUUCUGAGAUAAAAUGAGAUAAUAUUAGUAAAGUAUUUUGCA
Molecule: long non-coding RNA, 827 nt
Filed under: Phascolarctos cinereus (koala)
Lineage: Eukaryota; Metazoa; Chordata; Mammalia; Diprotodontia; Phascolarctidae
Description: lncRNA (ENSPCIG00000033271.1)
Source: RNAcentral